CCUGGAGAGCAGCCAGGAAAACAAACCCAGAGAGCCUUUGGUGUGGAAACGGUUACAUGGUCUAGUCCCUUACUACCCCGUUGCCCUUGCUAAUCCAGGGGCCAGCGGCAUCAACAUCAUCAGGGAGCUUAUCAGAAAUGCAAUUCUCCACGUGCACCCAGACCUGCUAAAUUUUAGGCACACUAAAGUUUAACAACCACUGUCUAGCCCAUCUCUAGGCAGAGCCACACCCAAAGCUCAUAAUGACACUUAUGAUCGUUGCACACCCAUUAGCUAGGGAAUCCAGAGCCCUUAAUUCUCAUGCCAGCCCUGAGAGGCAGGUAAGAGCGGUGAUUACUACCAUAGGCACAGUGUGGCCACAUAGCGUCCUCAUGCUCCCACACCCUGUGGCUGAGCCAGAACCGGAAAACUGGCCUCCUAACACCCACCCACUGCUCCCUUGACCAGUGGCUGCAGAAUCGUACUGCCUUUUCUGUCACACCCUGGCAUGCCCCCCGUACCUGUUCUAUUAUGAGGCAUCUAGAAGUGAGGCCCUGGGCACUCGUGGAGCAAGCCCGCCCAAACCUAUUUUCAGGACACCCCUGUUCCUUGACGCGGUUGAGGACUGCGCUAAGCCCAGACGCAUCACCCUGCACGGUGCCACGUCACUGUCCCUACAGGAGAGCCGGCUUCCUUUCCCGGGCCCAGGGAACGCUGUAGUGUGAAGAAACAAGCACACCGCCUCCACGCAGCUCCGGCAGAUGUUCUUGGGAACACUGGGAGCCCCGGAUGAGAAAGUCAGGGAGAUGGGGGCCCUCUGCCAACCAAGUGCCUAAAGCACGAGGUGAAGCUCAUCAUUCUUAUUCAGCAUCUCAGAGGUGCCAGUCGUGGUGGCUGCCACACCCAGCAUCCCUUUCCGGCCAGAACCACCCAGCCCAAAGCCUCUGCAGGGACACAGGGCCGGGUGCAGUGUGCUCUCUGUGGACAAGCAGUUCCUAACCGGACCAGAGGUGGGUGUCUGACCAAAGGAGGCCUAUCGGUGGGCUUGCUGGUGACCCCCAAGGUGACCUGGCCAACAGCGACAAGGGACUCUGGCUAAGCCGAUCAAACCAGCCCCCUCCAGAUGGUGCAGAUAGGAUUGGUCAGUUGGCAACUAGAGGAACACGAGGCAGAUGUGCAGAGAAGCAGAGAUGCCUCGAGACAGAGCACACUGGCCAGAGUCGGGGCUGGGGUGCUGGAUCCUGGCACAGACCCCGCCUUCCAGCCCACGGGUACCCUCAGAGCACAUCCCCCUUUCCUAGCGAAGCCUGAAAGCGCCUCUGGGUCACCUGAAGAUUCACAGCCUGUGGCUGUCGGCUGCUGCCUCACGUCCCCUACCCCCAAGGCAAGCAGGCAAGCUGUUUCAACAAUAGGGCAGGGAGGAAAACACCCCCCAAAUUCCAUGCUUGUUGCUGCUUAUUUUUUGUCUUCCAGCCCCAACUAGAUGCAAAGUACCUAAGGGGAAGACAGUGUAUUCUGCAUUUGACAAUAAGUUGUUUGUUUUUAAAAUCUCUGCCUCCACUCCAGCAGAGUGCCGGACAUAAAGUAGUAAUUCCAUAGGUGGCAUCCCCCUGCCCCAGGGAGCAUGAGGAGGAUGGGCACCUGUGGCUCAAGAGCAGGGACGUGUGUCCUGCCAUGUGCAUGCGUCACGGACAUUGGCAAGAAAAGCUCCUCAGCUAAGUGACUGCCACCUAGGACCGUGGACAGUGUUGCCCUCACUAACUACAUCGAUGGCCUCUGGCUCUUCCUGCUCUGAACAGCCUCUGCUGCUCCAGCAGCAACCCUCAGAGACUGUCAGGCCACACCCGAGCCCUGGAGCACAGUGACAGGGCUGCUGUCAGAGACCAGGAGGAGGGGCAAAGCUGGCCUCUGAGUACUGGGCUGGGAUAGGACUGAGGGACAGGACAGGGGGGAUGGCUCACCAUGAGAGGGGAGGGGGCGAGCUUACUGCCCCCUCGGUCUAGCAGGGAGGGGCCAUGAAGACUGUGGAAAGAAGGGAACGGGGCACAUUCAGGGGAAAGAACACUCCUUCCCAUAACCACCUGCCUCCAAAGAGAGCGCUGGGAAGCGCGGAGGAAGGGAGGGACAGGGGCGUGGUCAGUCAGAAUACACUGGUGUGGUCAGAGUUUGGUUCCGAUCCUGCCUUUCCCACCUGUGUGUUCUCAGGAAAGCUUCUUAAUCUCUCUAUGCUGUUUCUUCACCUGCAAAACGGGAAUGGCAAUCCCUCGGGUCAGAGAGUUUCUGUGAUGAUUGUGAGAGAAGGUGGAAAGCCAGUAACACAGGGCCUGACCCAUAGUUUUAUGAAAUGUUAGCUGAAGAAGCGAUCAGUUCCCUAGGGAAUGAGGACAGCAUGGAGCCCAGGGGCACAGUGUGGGGAACAGAAGGAGCUCUGGGCUCAUGUUGGGAGAGGAAGGAGAGUGGGGCAGGAGGUGGGGCAAGGGGCCAGCACUAAGCCACAGUGUUCCAACAAAAAGAGAAAAUGCCACCCACCACGGAGCCCGGAUGGCUCCCGAGUCUGCCUACCACCUAAAUUCUGGCAAAGUCAGGAGGUGUGCGUACUGGCAGGCCAGCACCUCACGGGUUAACAUCAGGUGCCAGCCUACCUGCCUGCCAAGGGCCACAUGUUUCAAGUGGAAAUAAGGCGCUUCUGGAUGCCAAAUGUUAUCACUGUGAUCAACCACAGCCCAAAAGACCCGCGGCGUGACUUGAGCCUUUUCAUUAGCAAUGAGAUGCCACAACAGGAACAACUUAAUACACCUGAAACCCAAGGCAGACACCCAAUCCCUGGAGCCAGGGUGGCUCCAGUUACCAAGCCCAAGGCUCAGGAAGGCCCCCAGCCCCUCCUCGACAGGAAACCAGCAUGUGCUGGACAUGUGGAGCUCAUGGGGUUGUGGCAGGAGGUCACCUCCAAAGAGGUCACCCUGAACAACCCCAAAACAAGCUUUAGGGAAAGGCAGACCCUGCGGGGGGGAAGGGGGUGAUGGCUGCCUGACUUUGCCAGUCCAGACAAGGCAUCAGAAUAAUCCCCAUCUCAAAAUCCCCUUGUCUCAGCAACAGAGAAGACCCGUAACAGCAAGAGACCAAUGACGCCAUCUUCCCCCUGAGUGACAAGUAAGGGGACAAAUGGGGAGAAUGAUACAGAAGGAGACAAAUCUCAAGAGAAGAGUCAAGACAAAGGCUCUUGGCACACAAAUGUCACACCAGGGACACAGCCUCGCUGUCUGCUGGACCACACGCCACCACCUGACUUCCUCCUCUUACCCAAUUGCAGCCUGAUGGUCCCUCAUGCUGGCCUCAUCCUGGGGAGAAGGCGCACCAGGCUCUCUGGGCAAAUGCAUUACUCAGCAUUUGCACUGUCUUGCUCUGGGAGGGAUGGGAAGCAGAAAUAAAAGAGGCAGCCCUGGUCUUUGGCAGACAGAACCCUGA
Long non-coding RNA from Felis catus (domestic cat), 3444 nucleotides. RefSeq lists it as uncharacterized. The transcript is spliced from 2 exons. The record is from RefSeq and is a predicted model, not a curated record. Lineage: Eukaryota; Metazoa; Chordata; Mammalia; Carnivora; Felidae.